Molecule: ribosomal RNA, 754 nt
Filed under: Sigmodon mascotensis (Jaliscan cotton rat)
Lineage: Eukaryota; Metazoa; Chordata; Mammalia; Rodentia; Cricetidae
Description: mitochondrial SSU ribosomal RNA
Rfam family: Bacterial small subunit ribosomal RNA
Source: RNAcentral
UUACACAUGCAAAGCUCCCUGUACCAGUGUCAAAUCCCCCAAAAUUCUACAGAAUUUGAAGRAGAGGACAUCAAGUGCAUUCUCAUAGCUAAAGACGUCUUGCCUAGCCACACCCCCACGGGACUCAGCAGUGAUAAAAAUUAAGCAAUGAACGAAAGUUUGACUAAGUUAUACCUCCAAGGGUUGGUAAAUCUCGUGCCAGCCACCGCCGGUCAUACGAUUAACCCCAAAAUUAACUAUUUCCCGGCGUAAAACGUGUCCCUAGARUUUCCCUAAUAGAAUUAAAAUCCAACCAAUAUGUGAAAAUUCAUCGUUGAGAUUAAAAUCAGAAACGAAAGUUAUUCUAGUAGACUUAAUACACGAUAGCUAAGAUCCAAACUGGGAUUAGAUACCCCACUAUGCUUAGCCCUAAACCAUAAUAACUUAAUAACRAAGUUAUUUGCCUGAGAACUACUGGCCACCGCUUAAAACUCAAAGGACUUGGCGGUACUUUAUAUCCAYCUAGAGGAGCCUGUUCUAUAAUCGAUAAACCCCGCUAUACCUCACCACUUCUUGCUAAUUCAGCCUAUAUACCGCCAUCUUCAGCAAACCUUUUAAAAAGAAUUAUAGUAAGCAAGAGAACAAUCAUAAAAACGUUAGGUCAAGGUGUAGCCUAUGAAGUGGAAAGCAAUGGGCUACAUUUUCUUCACAAGAACAUUAACGAUACCCUCUAUGAAACUAGAGGACCAAGGAGGAUUUAGUAGUAAAUUAAGAA